Molecule: transfer RNA, 76 nt
Filed under: Ruminococcus sp.
Lineage: Bacteria; Bacillati; Bacillota; Clostridia; Eubacteriales; Oscillospiraceae
Also listed under: 1 other name
Description: tRNA-Ala
Rfam family: tRNA
About the family: Transfer RNA (tRNA) molecules are approximately 80 nucleotides in length. Their secondary structure includes four short double-helical elements and three loops (D, anti-codon, and T loops). Further hydrogen bonds mediate the characteristic L-shaped molecular structure. tRNAs have two regions of fundamental functional importance: the anti-codon, which is responsible for specific mRNA codon recognition, and the 3' end, to which the tRNAs corresponding amino acid is attached (by aminoacyl-tRNA synthetases). tRNAs cope with the degeneracy of the genetic code in two manners: having more than one tRNA (with a specific anti-codon) for a particular amino acid; and 'wobble' base-pairing, i.e. permitting non-standard base-pairing at the 3rd anti-codon position.
Source: RNAcentral
GGGCCUGUAGCUCAGCUGGGAGAGUGUCGCGUUCGCAAUGCGAAGGUCGUGGGUUCGAUCCCCAUCAGGUCCACCA